AAAUUACAGCCUGAGCCACGCUCGAUGUACCCGCCAGCUUUGGGGUGAGGGCACUGUGCCCCCUGACUGGCACUGCCUCCUCACGGGUACAGCAAACUCUUUUUUUUACCAGCACUUUCACCCAGUCCCAAGCACAAACUGGAAUUCCUGAGCAGAUUGCACAGACCUGACACUAACUGGCAGCAGCUUUGUUGUGUUCUCCAAGAGUACGAUGUGUAUUAAUAGAAUAUGGAAAAAAAUAAUAUGUAAAUGAUGAACAGUUCUGAAUCUUCAAGGGGAAAGCCCAGCUCUGCUCUGGGAAGGGCACGCAACCAAAACAGCUGCAGCACCGUGAGAACUUGCACCGAAAACCUGAAAGCUGCCAGCAAGCAGCAUCAGCUGCCAGGAAAGGGGCGAUCGGUCUGCAGACAAAGCAGUUGGCUUCAUUACGACUUUACCAGCAGAGGCUGGAUCUGAGGUUUGAUCCAGACUCACUACCCCUUCAGGAAGGUGCACACCGGAUGAAUUAAACCAGAUGAUUAACCACAGUAGAACUACAUUUUUCUGUGUGUAGUGUUGUAUCGAUUCAACCCUGCUCUGAAUUUAGGCAGUAGGUUUACAUGCGUAGUCACCAUUCCAGACAACAUGGAAGGAAAUCCAUCCCCCACCUCCUCCCUUUGGGUUCUGAUAUCUG
RNAcentral lists this long non-coding RNA (673 nucleotides) under Anser brachyrhynchus (Pink-footed goose). Its description in RNAcentral is "lncRNA (ENSABRG00000023091.1)". The record is from RNAcentral. Lineage: Eukaryota; Metazoa; Chordata; Aves; Anseriformes; Anatidae.